RNAcentral lists this ribosomal RNA (428 nucleotides) under uncultured Alphaproteobacteria bacterium. RNAcentral describes it as "bacterial SSU rRNA". It matches the Rfam family "Bacterial small subunit ribosomal RNA", at positions 351 to 796 of the family's 1533-position model. Lineage: Bacteria; Pseudomonadati; Pseudomonadota; Alphaproteobacteria. The record is from RNAcentral.
GCAGUGGGGAAUAUUGGACAAUGGGCGAAAGCCUGAUCCAGCAAUGCCGCGUGAGUGAUGAAGGCCUUAGGGUUGUAAAGCUCUUUUACCAGGGAUGAUAAUGACAGUACCUGGAGAAUAAGCUCCGGCUAACUCCGUGCCAGCAGCCGCGGUAAUACGGAGGGAGCUAGCGUUGUUCGGAAUUACUGGGCGUAGAGCGCGCGUAGGCGGUUUUUUAAGUCAGAGGUGAAAGCCCAGUGCUCAACACUGGAACUGCCUUUGAAACUGGAAAACUUGAAUCUUGGAGAGGUCAGUGGAAUUCCGAGUGUAGAGGUGAAAUUCGUAGAUAUUCGGAAGAACACCAGUGGCGAAGGCGACUUGCUGGGCUUGUAGUGACGCUGAGACGCGAAAGCGUGGGGAGCAAACAGGAUUAGAUACCCGAGUAGUCC